UAGUGGCAAGUUUGAUAGUGGACUGAAGUGUUUGCUGCGUAAUCAUCAUCCAAGUACGAUCGUCGCAUUUCAAGCUUUUUUAUGGAUGAUUCUGGAAAAAAGGAAACAAAUUUAUGUUCUGUUUCAUUCCUCUCAGACUUUUUGUGUUAAAAGCUGUUUUCUAAAACAAUUUUACACUAAAGAUCAAUCAGUUUCUCAUAUGAAAUAAAUUAAGUACUGAUUUUU
This 225-nucleotide long non-coding RNA is filed under the name Phaseolus vulgaris (common bean). Its description in RNAcentral is "long non-coding RNA (PVUL_LNC004971)". Lineage: Eukaryota; Viridiplantae; Streptophyta; Magnoliopsida; Fabales; Fabaceae. The record is from RNAcentral.